GAUGAAGAACGUAGCGAAAUGCGAUAAGUAGUGUGAAUUGCGGAAUUCAGUGAAUCAUCGAAUCUUUGAACGCACAUUGCGCCCCUUGGUAUUCCAUGGGGCAUGCCUGUUCGAGCGUCAUUUGUACCUUCAAGCUUUGCUUGGUGUUGGGUGUUUGUCCUGAGGGACUCGCCUUAAAGUAAUUGGCAGCCAGUGUUUGGUUUUGAAGCGCAGCACAAGUCGCGAUUCAAAGCUAUACGCCCGCUUCCACAAGCCUUUUUCACUUUUGACCUCGGAUCAGGUAGGGAUACCCGCUGAACUUAAGCAUAUCAAUAAGCGGAGGA
This 323-nucleotide unclassified non-coding RNA is filed under the name soil metagenome. Its description in RNAcentral is "partial contains 5.8S ribosomal RNA, internal transcribed spacer 2, and large subunit ribosomal RNA". The stretch from base 1 to 120 matches the Rfam family "5.8S ribosomal RNA", at positions 35 to 154 of the family's 154-position model. The record is from RNAcentral.